RNAcentral lists this ribosomal RNA (497 nucleotides) under uncultured bacterium. RNAcentral's name for it is "partial 16S ribosomal RNA". It matches the Rfam family "Bacterial small subunit ribosomal RNA", at positions 28 to 507 of the family's 1533-position model. The record is from RNAcentral.
GAUGAACGCUGGCGGCGUGCCUAAUACAUGCAAGUCGAGCGAACAGACGAGGAGCUUGCUCCUCUGACGUUAGCGGCGGACGGGUGAGUAACACGUGGAUAACCUACCUAUAAGACUGGGGUAACUUCGGGAAACCGGAGCUAAUACCGGAUAAUAUAUUGAACCGCAUGGUUCAAUAGUGAAAGACGGUUUUGCUGUCACUUAUAGAUGGAUCCGCGCCGCAUUAGCUAGUUGGUAAGGUAACGGCUUACCAAGGCAACGAUGCGUAGCCGACCUGAGAGGGUGAUCGGCCACACUGGAACUGAGACACGGUCCAGACUCCUACGGGAGGCAGCAGUAGGGAAUCUUCCGCAAUGGGCGAAAGCAUGACGGAGCAACGCCGCGUGAGUGAUGAAGGUCUUCGGAUCGUAAAACUCUGUUAUUAGGGAAGAACAAAUGUGUAAGUAACUAUGCACGUCUUGACGGUACCUAAUCAGAAAGCCACGGCUAACUACGUG